Long non-coding RNA from Acinonyx jubatus (cheetah), 1644 nucleotides. RefSeq lists it as uncharacterized. The record is from RefSeq and is a predicted model, not a curated record. NCBI's taxonomy places the organism in Eukaryota, Metazoa, Chordata, Mammalia, Carnivora, Felidae. The transcript is spliced from 3 exons.
GGUGAGUGCUGAAUCCACAUCCCGGCCCUCCCCCCAUGUCGCCCUGCGCCUGCCCCUCCCCCUGCCCUCAGCUCUCACCUUCUGCCCCAUCCCCACCCCCUCCCCCUCCCCCAAUCCGCCCCCUGUUCCUCGCCCCCAGGUUCUGCCCCUGCUCCUUCCCCCAUUGCUUCCCCUCCCUCCUCUGCCCCUUCCUGCCAACGGCUCUCUGCCCCUCAGUUUCUCCCCUGCCUGUGCAUCUUUCACCCUGCCCUCUGCCCCCGUUCAGUGGUCAGAGGGUCACCCUCACGUGUCAUCCGACAGAAGCCGCACGGAGGAGACGCCUAGAAACACCUGCCGGGGUGGAGGAGCGGCCUCACAGGUGGCAGGACACUCGCUGUGAGGUCCCAGCAGCGCGUUCCUCCACAUGCUCUGUCCUCAGACCUUUAACCCUUGAGGAGACGUCCACCCCCACCCCCACCCCCCCGAACCUCACAGCUCUGCCCUGGCGUCCAGAACAAGCUGGCCAACACACACACACCCCGCGACUUGCUGCCAUGGCCAACGCCCCUCCCUGGUGCCCCCCACCUUAGAGACCGGAAGAGUCAGGCACCUGCUUCCACCAGCUCCCACAAGGUCACAAGUGCCCGUGGGACUGAGUGUUGGCCCGGGAGAGGGAAGCAGAUGUCCGAUGUUUUCUUGGGGAGACUGUCUUUUUCCCGAUAAAAGGGACAUACUCAGCUGGCAUCCUUUCCCCUCUUCUUUCUUCUUCUAGUCUUGGAUGUACAUGUGAUGCUUAAGAGCCAGCAGCCACUUUAGCACCACAAGGCUAAAAGCUGCUGUUAUUUUUAUAAAAAACGUAGGUUCCCAGACCCAAUUCCAGCGUGGGAGGAGGGGUCCCCACAAUGAACACUAGACGAUCCCCAGAUACGAGAGUGCCCAGAAUUCUCUGUCCUGACACCGUCCACCCAGGGACAGCGACAGGGGCCACGGGUUAGGGGUUCAGCCCCACACGAUCACCCCGCCCCCCAGUGCUCCCAACCACAGGCCACAGAGAGGAGGGUCCUCCUCCACGGGCUCUUCCAGUUGGUUAGAGCGGCUCCCAGAAGUCAGGGAAACGUGCACGUUUACCACCUUUUGGAUGGAUACGACCCUGUGCGCACGCAGGGUGGAGGGGCCGCCUGAGAGCCACCGGGAGAGAAGCCACCCCCCCCCCCCCCCCCGUCAUCUCCGACUCCCAGCAGCCAGAACUGAGACGACAGGAGUGUUUGUCACCCUGUCCGUGGGGUUUGUGACAGCAGCAUCAGUGGGAGGCGACCGGAGGCUCUAAGACACACUGCCCUGGAUGGUUUGACCUGCAUUUCUUCCCCACCUGCUCGCCCGUGCUCGGGACGGUCUUGGGCAACGCCUGUCGUGAUGUAAUUAUUGUUAAAUAGAAAAUCGCAAGCCCCAAAUGGCGUCACUUAGGUCAAGUCUCCCACCUGGAGUCUGGGCCCUGACCUGGGUGCACUUUCCAGCCUGUCCCGGAAACGAAACGAGGCCUGGUCGGCGCCAGUGAGGGCCUCUGCGCCCGGGCCUCGCCACCCACCUCAGACCCCCGCCCUGCCCCUACCUAAGGGAAAGCGGCCUUGCCCGCCGCCAUCUUUUCUUUUCUUUUGACGUUAACUC